UUGUCCUACGGGAGGCAGCAGUGGGGAAUAUUGCACAAUGGGGGAAACCCUGAUGCAGCGACGCCGCGUGAGUGAAGAAGUAUCUCGGUACGUAAAGCUCUAUCAGCAGGGAAGAAAAAAAGUCUUUGGCUUUGGACGGUACCUGACUAAGAAGCCCCGGCUAACUACGUGCCAGCAGCCGCGGUAAUACGUAGGGGGCAAGCGUUAUCCGGAUUUACUGGGUGUAAAGGGGGCGCAGACGGCAGCGCAAGCCAGGAGUGAAAGCCCGGGGCCCAACCCCGGGACUGCUCUUGGAACUGCGCGGC
This 305-nucleotide ribosomal RNA is filed under the name uncultured bacterium. Its description in RNAcentral is "bacterial SSU rRNA". It matches the Rfam family "Bacterial small subunit ribosomal RNA", at positions 334 to 641 of the family's 1533-position model. The record is from RNAcentral.